Non-coding RNA from Pygocentrus nattereri (red-bellied piranha), 679 nucleotides. The record is from the annotation of a RefSeq genome assembly. NCBI's taxonomy places the organism in Eukaryota, Metazoa, Chordata, Actinopteri, Characiformes, Serrasalmidae.
UGAGGGGCCGCAUGUCAGCUAUGGCUCUGCUGCUGUGCGGCGUUGGUGUGCUGUCAGUGAGUUUGAGCUCUCAGGCUGGUUUAACUGUAGAAGCAGAACCUGGUGAUGAUGUCACUCUCUGGUGUCAGUACAGCCUCAGUCUGUCAGGUUAUAUAUUCUGGUUCAAACAAACAAACAAUUCAGCACCAGAUCGCAUCGCAUGCAGAUAUUACUCAUCAUCGUCAUCUUCCUCUAACUCCUGUUUCUUCAUCCCUGAGAGUAACAGGUCAGUGAUGAGAGUGAACUCCACGUUCUCCUCUCUCACUAUAACUGCAGUUACUCUCUCUGACUCAGGACUCUAUUACUGCUUCAUUCAAAAGGAGCAGUUCAUGACCUUCAGCACCACAACACGUCUACAAAUCAGAGAGAGAAAUAACGUGACUUCCAAGAAAGCAGAGCAGUCUGCAGAAGCUGGCUGCACUUCUAAUGUGGUCCUCACGCUGCUGUUUGGAGCUGUGAUUGCGGUUCUGCUCAGUGCUCUUCUCAUCCUGAUCUUCAUCAGACAGACUGACCGUAAAGACCAGAGAGACGGAUCUGCGGAGCUCCCACUGCUGGAUCAGCAUCUUCAGUGGAGGAACACGACUGCAGUACAUUAUAAUCAGUUACUGUUAAACCAGAUGGACAAUUAAUAAACUAGAAC